CUACAAUGACCAACAACACUGCUGAUGUAUAUGAUGCCACUGAUGAAACACUGCUGACCUGAGGGACAGACUCAUAUAUGAUGCCACUGAUGAAGCACUGCUGACAUGUUGGAGGAGGAGACGUCUGGUCCUGCAGCAACACAGCACAGCACCUUAUAUCACGGCUCCUGUACAGAAGAAAACUUAUCUACUGAUUCUUGGCAGAUUAUGUUACCAUUUGAGGUGAACUGAAGCCUUGAUGUAAUAGUGAUUGAAGACUACAGUACAGGAGGAGAGAGAGUGUUAUCUGGCAUUGGUAUUAGAAUAGUUAGCAACUGUGUGUUAGUAACUUACAGGGUUCAGUUUAACACAGAUAGGCUCAUCAUAUAUUUUAAUAAAGUACAGGUAUCCCCCAAGAUACUUACAGUAUGUCCAAUAAAUGAACAAUCAUUAUUACAAAAAUAUCAGUUUGACUUGACAAAUUCCCCUCAGUCACACGGUCAGUAUAGCCCAGUGGUGCAUUGGCACUAUUGCAGAAUGUUGGUUGUGUUUAAUGUAUUUAUUAUUUUACAAGAAUUAUAUUGGUGGAAAACCCACCAGUUGACUGAUUUUUCCCUCCCAGAACAUAAUACAAGAGUUCUACCAUUCAAUAUGUUUUUUUAACUUAGAACCCUUAGUGCUAUACAGUAUGUUAGAGGAUACCUGUACAUGUAAAUUAAUGUACAGUACUGUAGGUUCACCUGUUGGGGAAGUGAAGGCAGUGUUAAUCACAAGGUUCAGUAUACAGUAUCUACACUGCCCUUAAUGGACCAUCAUGCUUGUGUGGAUUAACCAAACACUACUUAACAAAGUACAUUUAUGUUGUAGUGGAAAAAUAAUUAAUUUGCAGAACUUGACAUGAAGUAUUUAUG
Long non-coding RNA from Homarus americanus (American lobster), 890 nucleotides. RefSeq lists it as uncharacterized. The record is from RefSeq and is a predicted model, not a curated record. NCBI's taxonomy places the organism in Eukaryota, Metazoa, Arthropoda, Malacostraca, Decapoda, Nephropidae. The transcript is spliced from 2 exons.